This 254-nucleotide ribosomal RNA is filed under the name uncultured bacterium. RNAcentral describes it as "partial 16S ribosomal RNA". It matches the Rfam family "Bacterial small subunit ribosomal RNA", at positions 524 to 776 of the family's 1533-position model. The record is from RNAcentral.
UACGGGGGGAGCAAGCGUUGUUCGGAUUUACUGGGCGUAAAGGGCGCGUAGGCGGCCUCCGCAAGUCAGUUGUGAAAUCUCCGUGCUUAACUCGGAAAGGUCAACUGAUACUGCGGGGCUAGAGUGCGGAAGGGGCAACUGGAAUUCUUGGUGUAGCGGUGAAAUGCGUAGAUAUCAAGAGGAACACCUGCGGCGAAGGCGGGUUGCUGGGCCGACACUGACGCUGAGGCGCGAAAGCUAGGGGAGCGAACGGG